Molecule: long non-coding RNA, 2631 nt
Filed under: Equus caballus (horse)
Lineage: Eukaryota; Metazoa; Chordata; Mammalia; Perissodactyla; Equidae
Description: lncRNA (ENSECAG00000050898.1)
Source: RNAcentral
GGGGCAUCCGGGCCUGUGAGGGUCUGCCCCACUGCCCCUCUGGGCUGCAGCUGGUCCACCUUCAGGGGCAAGCAGGCAGCACCUGCUAAGGAGGGCCAAGACCUGCCGGUGGCCGGGGUCUGCUUGCCCACGUUAAUACCCUUAGAGGAAAAGGGCCCUGUUUACCCUCACCCUAAUGCCCGAACCAAAUAGACCCAAGGGUGAGCUGGAAGGGGAAAAGGAGUCACAAGAUGGCGUCCCUCAGCCUGAAAGAUCUUUUCAGAUCCACUGAAAUGCAUUUAGGAAUGCAUUUAGGAAGAUCUUCCUGGCAGCAGAGCAUGGCCUGGCUGCUCAGGGUGUUGAAGGAAGACCAGCAGCCCCUGCAUCUCCCAGGAACUUCUCAGAAAUGCAGCACCGUGGCCUUAUCCCAACAAGAUCUCCAGGCUCUGUGCAGACAAGAGCCCUUUGCUCCUGCUGGGACUGGCGUGCUCAGCAAACCUGACAGACAACGUGCAAAAUCAGAGUGCUUCCAGCAAAGCGGGGCGAGAACAAGGACGAGGAGGAGAUAAGAAGCAAACAGCUGCAGAAGAUCAGUGGAGAAACUCAGGCUCUUGGUGGAAAUAUGACACAGGGUGGCCAAGGACACUGCUGGGUUUCUGUGCAGUUGGCCUUGAGUGGAUGGCCUGAUGAGGCUUUUUAUCACCUUGGUCUUCGGAUGCAUCUCCACCAUGACCACAGCAGUGAGGCCCCUUCCACGCCUCUGGGUACAGCCUUCGGGAGCCCCUGAGAAGGAGUGCAUGGACUAGGGGGUGGGAGCUGACUCCAGAGAGGUGGGCAGGCCGGGAUCACAGAGCAUCUUGGCUGCACAGCCCAGGAAUCUGACUUACGUCCUGUUAGGCAACAGGCAGCCAGCCACGGGCUUGAGGCAGGAAAGCGGAAUGAUAUGAUGGGUGUUUCAGACACUUCUUUCACAGCUGUGUGGAGGAUAAGCUCCUUGCUAAGAUAAAGGAAACAUGGGCUAAUUUUCUUCUUAAAUGUACUAUAUUUUCCAAGUCAAGCCUAAAUCACUGACUUUGCUUUUCUCCGUGUAUGUUUGAUUUGAUCUCUAUAAAAGGUUAAGGAAAACUUUUAUUAUCUUAAGCCUUUGAUGAGGCCCUGAUUUGUCCUCUCCCCGCCAUGUGAAGCAGAGCACGGAGGAGUAAGGCAACUUUCCCAAGUUCGUGCAGUGGGUUCUUGGCACAACCAGGGAGGAUUUCACGGUCUGGAUUCUCAGAAUUGUGCUCUAACUGGAUCCUGCUGCGAGUCACCCACACUCACACUUACCUCCUAAAAAGUCACUUUCAACUGAGAAGAAGAGAGAUUAUGCCCAAGCUUUGGAAACUUGGCUCUGAGUCGAGGUCCCACGUUCGACUUUUGCUGAUCGCUGCCUCAGUUUCCUUCUGUGUCACCAGUCUUGCAUUGUCAAUGUUUCUCAGUGAGUUUCCCAUCAGUGCCUUCACUGCAUUAUAAAUGUAAACACCACCAAAGUUGACCUUGAGCCCAGCAUGACUCUGAGGCCCCAAAGAAACCUUCCUUAGGAACUGUGAGGAGUAAACAAAUGUUGAAUAGAGAAGUCAAUGUUGACUGCCUUCUCUUCUGACAUCUCCCAUGUACCUCUUCCUUUACUAUGAGAAUUGGUUUCAGACCCAGGAGGAUGUCAGCAGUGUCCUAACUGGCUCAGAGCUGUGAUGGCUGCUUCAUGGUCCGCCCCACUGCCCUCUAUCCCCAGAGCAUGCCCGGCAGGAAGAACCUGUGUGUUCAGGAUGUUCAUGAGGCUGCAUUUAUAGUGUACUGCAGAUUUCAUGUAAAUAUUUCUGUCAUUUGAAGUAGAGAAUGAUAUACCAUAUAUCCCUUUAAUUAAUUGAUCUCAAGCUAUGCUAUUCCCAAAGGCAACAUAAAUGUCCUUCAUACAAAAGGCUUCCAAACUGUCCAGUGACACACACAUGUUUCUGUCUGGCUUUGCUCUUUCCAUCAUGCAGUCGAGUCCUUUGCUUCUAGCCCAUCUCUCAUGUACCUACCCUUUAGUCCUCUGAGGAAAAUCACAACAACCCAGGUGAAAACCCUGAGGUCACACAAGUAAACAAAGUUUGAGCUUUUUUAAACAGGAUGUUGUUGGAUUCAAAUUGGACUUUGGGCUAAGAGGAAUGAACAGUGCCUUUUACUGCAACCCUAGGCAUCCAGGGAAAAGUACAGCAGACUUGAAAGGAACCAAGCUGCAGGCAAGUUAGGACAUUUCCAAAAAAAAUAGAAAAUAGAAAUCUGUUUGUACUUUUGGAGCAUCAACGAGUAAGCUAUUUUCAGUUAGGUUAGUAAAAGCAUGUUUAAACCUGUUUGCAGAGACAGGCUCAUAAAACAUCCUCGCCAGAAAGCAGAGACAGGAGUCGGGGGAGGUGGCAGUCCCUGUAUUUUCCCUUAGUGAACUGAGUGUUGUCCCAACAGGCAACAGGAUACAACAUUUGCCUUGGUCUGAAUGAAGCCCUGAACAGUGCAGCCGGUGCUGUAUUUCAUCGUGACACCAACUGGCCCCUAUUCUCCAAGCUCAACAUCCCCCUUCUCUCUAAAUGAAACCUAGCCUGGAACAAGGCUGUGCUUACAAGAGAACUCACAAUCAGC